AACGCACAUUGCGCUCUCUGGUAUUCCGGAGAGCAUGCUUGUUUGAGUAUCAGUAAACACCUCAACUCUUUUUUUCUCUCUGGAGGGGAAAGAGUUGGACUUGAGCUAUCCCAACAGAACUCGUUUCUGGCGGGCGGCUUGAAAUGCAGGUGCAGCUGGACUUUCUUCUGAGCUAUAAGCAUAUUUAUUUAAUCCCUUAAAACGGGUUAUUACUUUUUGCUGCAGCUAAUAUAAAGGUUGAUUGUUCUCUAUGCUGACUGAUGCAGGAAUUUGGCAAAAUAUCGUCUAGGCGAUUUUUUGUUAAACUCGAUCUCAAAUCAGGUAAGACUACCCGCUGAACUUAA
This 344-nucleotide unclassified non-coding RNA is filed under the name uncultured fungus. Its description in RNAcentral is "partial contains 5.8S ribosomal RNA, internal transcribed spacer 2, and large subunit ribosomal RNA". Lineage: Eukaryota; Fungi. The record is from RNAcentral.